This 434-nucleotide ribosomal RNA is filed under the name uncultured bacterium. Its description in RNAcentral is "partial 16S ribosomal RNA". It matches the Rfam family "Bacterial small subunit ribosomal RNA", at positions 29 to 507 of the family's 1533-position model. The record is from RNAcentral.
AGCGAACGCUGGCGGCAGGCCUAACACAUGCAAGUCGAACGAACCUUUCGGGGUUAGUGGCGGACGGGUGAGUAACACGUGGGAACGUGCCUUUAGGUUCGGAAUAACUCAGGGAAACUUGUGCUAAUACCGAAUGUGCCCUUCGGGGGAAAGAUUAAUCGCCUUUAGAGCGGCCCGCGUCUGAUUAGCUAGUUGGUUGAGGUAAUGGCUCACCAAGGCGACGAUCAGUAGCUGGUCUGAGAGGAUGAUCAGCCACAUUGGGACUGAGACACGGCCCAAACUCCUACGGGAGGCAGCAGUGGGGAAUCUUGCGCAAUGGGCGAAAGCCUGACGCAGCAAUGCCGCGUGAAUGAUGAAGGUCUUAGGAUUGUAAAAUUCUUUCACCGGGGACGAUAAUGACGGUACCCGGAGAAGAAGCCCCGGCUAACUUCGUG